This 497-nucleotide ribosomal RNA is filed under the name uncultured bacterium. RNAcentral's name for it is "partial 16S ribosomal RNA". It matches the Rfam family "Bacterial small subunit ribosomal RNA", at positions 28 to 507 of the family's 1533-position model. The record is from RNAcentral.
GAUGAACGCUGGCGGCGUGCCUAAUACAUGCAAGUCGAGCGAACGGACGAGAAGCUUGCUUCUCUGAUGUUGGCGGCGGACGGGUGAGUAACACGUGGAUAACCUACCUAUAAGACUGGGAUAACUUCGGGAAAACGGAGCUAAUACCGGAUAAUAUUUUGAACCGCAUGGUUCAAAAGUGAAAGACGGUCUUGCUGUCACUUAUAGAUGGAUCCGCGCUGCAUUAGCUAGUUGGUAAGGUAACGGCUUACCAAGGCAACGAUGCAUAGCCGACCUGAGAGGGUGAUCGGCCACACUGGAACUGAGACACGGUCCAGACUCCUACGGGAGGCAGCAGUAGGGAAUCUUCCGCAAUGGGCGAAAGCCUGACGGAGCAACGCCGCGUGAGUGAUGAAGGUCUUCGGAUCGUAAAACUCUGUUAUUAGGGAAGAACAUAUGUGUAAGUAACUGUGCACAUCUUGACGGUACCUAAUCAGAAAGCCACGGCUAACUACGUG